AGUGAACGCUGGCGGUAGGCCUAACACAUGCAAGUCGAACGGCAGCACAGUAAGAGCUUGCUCUUACGGGUGGCGAGUGGCGGACGGGUGAGGAAUACAUCGGAAUCUACUUUUUCGGGGGGGAUAACGUAGGGAAACUUACGCUAAUACCGCAUACGACCUACGGGUGAAAGCAGGGGAUCUUCGGACCUUGCGCGAUUGAAUGAGCCGAUGUCGGAUUAGCUAGUUGGCGGGGUAAAGGCCCACCAAGGCGACGAUCCGUAGCUGGUCUGAGAGGAUGAUCAGCCACCCUGGAACUGAGCCACGGUCCAGACUCCUACGGGAGGCAGCAGUGGGGAAUAUUGGACAAUGGGCGCAAGCCUGCUCCAGCCAUACCGCGUGGGUGAAGAAGGCCUUCGGGUUGUAAAGCCCUUUUGUUGGGAAAGAAAAGCAGCAGGUUAAUACCCCGCUGUUCUGACGGUACCCAAAGAAUAAGCACCGGCUAACUUCGUG
RNAcentral lists this ribosomal RNA (492 nucleotides) under uncultured bacterium. RNAcentral's name for it is "partial 16S ribosomal RNA". It matches the Rfam family "Bacterial small subunit ribosomal RNA", at positions 29 to 507 of the family's 1533-position model. The record is from RNAcentral.